RNAcentral lists this ribosomal RNA (468 nucleotides) under uncultured bacterium. Its description in RNAcentral is "partial 16S ribosomal RNA". It matches the Rfam family "Bacterial small subunit ribosomal RNA", at positions 28 to 507 of the family's 1533-position model. The record is from RNAcentral.
GACGAACGCUGGCGGCGUGCUUAACACAUGCAAGUCGAACGGAAAGGCCCUGCUUUUGUGGGGUGCUCGAGUGGCGAACGGGUGAGUAACACGUGAGUAACCUGUCCUUGACUUUGGGAUAACUUCAGGAAACUGGGGCUAAUACCGGAUAGGAGCUCCUGCUGCAUGGUGGGGGUUGGAAAGUUUCGGCGGUUGGGGAUGGACUCGCGGCUUAUCAGCUUGUUGGUGGGGUAGUGGCUUACCAAGGCUUUAACGGGUAGCCGGCCUGAGAGGGUGACCGGCCACAUUGGGACUGCGAUACGGCGCAGACUCGUACGGGAGGCAGUAGUGGGGAAUAUUGCACAAUGGGCGGAAGCCUGAUGCAGCAACGCCGCGUGCGGGAUGACGGCCUUCGGGUUGUAAACCGCUUUCGCCUGUGACGAAGCGUGAGUGACGGUAAUGGGUAAAGAAGCACCGGCUAACUACGUG